This 216-nucleotide unclassified non-coding RNA is filed under the name rhizosphere metagenome. RNAcentral describes it as "partial ribosomal RNA internal transcribed spacer region". The record is from RNAcentral.
GUAGGUGAACCUGCGGAAGGAUCAUUACAGUGUUCCCUGCCCUCACGGGUAGAAACGCCCACCCUUGUAUAAUAUAUCUUGUUGCUUUGGCAGGCCGCCCUCGGGCACCGGCUCCGGCUGGAUCGUGCCUGCCAGAGGACCCCAAACUCUGAAUGUUAGUGUCGUCUGAGUACUAUAUAAUAGUUAAAACUUUCAACAACGGAUCUCUUGGCUCUC